This 407-nucleotide ribosomal RNA is filed under the name uncultured bacterium. RNAcentral's name for it is "partial 16S ribosomal RNA". It matches the Rfam family "Bacterial small subunit ribosomal RNA", at positions 30 to 526 of the family's 1533-position model. The record is from RNAcentral.
AUUGAACGCUGGCGGCAGGCCUAACACAUGCAAGUCGAGCGGAGCGGCGGACGGGUGAGUAAUGCCUAGGAAUCUGCCUGGUAGUGGGGGAUAACGUCCGGAAACGGGCGCUAAUACCGCAUACUCUCAGAUGAGCCUCGGUCGGAUUAGCUAGUAGGUGGGGUAACGGCUCACCUAGGCGACGCUCCCUAGCUGGUCUGAGAGGCUGAUCAGUCACACUGGAACGGAGACACGGUCCAGACUCCUACGGGAGGCAGCAGUGGGGAAUAUUGGACAAUGGGCGAAAGCCUGAUCCAGCCAUGCCGCGUGUGUGAAGAAGGUCUUCGUAUUGUAAAGCACUUUAAGUUGGGAGGCGUUACCAACAGAAUAAGCACCGGCUAACUUCGUGCCAGCCGCCGCGGUAGUAC